Molecule: long non-coding RNA, 549 nt
Filed under: Neogale vison (American mink)
Lineage: Eukaryota; Metazoa; Chordata; Mammalia; Carnivora; Mustelidae
Description: Neovison vison (American mink) lncRNA (ENSNVIG00000002441.1)
Source: RNAcentral
UCCUUGAUAGCCCCGCCGGCGGCCGCCGAGGUCGGCGCUCUCGCCUCGUCUCCUCCCCCGGCUGGGGACCCUCUCCUCUCCCCUCCCUUGCCCCCUCCUCUCGCCGCCGCCUCCUCCUCCUUGUCCGAGCGGCUAGCUGCGAGGAGGCGUAACGGAAAGCCCCGGCGUGGGGAAGGCUGCGAGCUCGGAGCCGGAGACGCGGAGCCGGGGUCGGGUCGGCGGGGAAGCAGACUCUUGAAUUCACAGCUGGCUUAUGAUUUUGCCUCUUGUUACAGAGCACUCACACAGGUAAAGACCUGCUCGCGCUCAGGUGGGAUGUAGGCAAACUCUGGUCCUGAUGAUGUGCUCUGAUAACCACCCAGAGUUCUCAUUCAUUAAAAAGAAAAUCCUCUAUGUAGGGUGACAUUUCCUGUAAGAAAGGUGUGGUCCUGUAAGAAAAGUGGUCCCCUGCCCCUGUGGGGAAUUGCAGGGCGAAGGUGUUUACUUGGCUGGCUUUCUCCUGGGCAUUGCUGGCCUUCUCAUUACCAACAUUUUUUACUUUGAGCAGGG